RNAcentral lists this ribosomal RNA (872 nucleotides) under archaeon enrichment culture clone C4-12C-A. Its description in RNAcentral is "bacterial SSU rRNA". It matches the Rfam family "Archaeal small subunit ribosomal RNA", at positions 46 to 922 of the family's 1478-position model. The record is from RNAcentral.
AAGCCAUGCGAGUCAAGGUGUCUUCGGACGCCGGCAAACGGCUCAGUAACCACGUAGGUAAUCUACCCUCAGGACUGAGAUAACCCCGGGAAACUGGGGCUAAUACCAGAUAGAUAAAAGAUACUGGAAUGUUCUUUUAUCCAAAGCUUUUGUGCCUGAGGAUGAGCCUGCGCCCGAUUAGGUAGUUGGUGGGGUAAUGGCCCACCAAGCCUGCGAUCGGUACGGGCAGUGGGAGCUGUAGCCCGGAGUUGGGGACUGAGACAAGGCCCCAGGCCCUACGGGGCGCAGCAGGCGCGAAACCUCUGCAAUGCGGGAAACCGUGACAGGGGGAUUCCAAGUGCUCAUGCAUUGCAUGGGCUGUUCUUUGGUCUAAGUAACCAGAGGAGUAAGGGCUGGGCAAGACCGGUGCCAGCCGCCGCGGUAAUACCGGCAGCUCGAGUGGUAGCCGCGAUUAUUGGGCCUAAAACGUUCGUAGCCGGAUAAGUAAGUCUUUGGUUAAAUCCUACGACUUAACCGUGGGAAAUCUAGAGAUACUGCUUGUCUUGAGACCGGGAGAGGUUGGAGGUACUCCCAGGGUAGGGGUGAAAUCCUGUAAUCCUGGGGGGACCACCUGUGGCGAAGGCGUCCAACUGGAACGGCUCUGACGGUGAGGGACGAAACCUAGGGGAGCGAGCCGGAUUAGAUACCCGGGUAGUCCUAGGCGUAAAUGAUGCGAGUUAAGUGUGGGGGCAUCUACGAGAUGGCCCUGUGCUGUAGGGUAGCCGUUAAACUCGCUGCCUGGGGAGUACGGUCGCAAGGCUGAAACUUAAAGGAAUUGGCGGGGGAGCACCACAAGAGGUGGAGGCUGCGGUUCAAUUGGAUUCAACGCCGGG